UCCCUUCCUUCAGUGAAUACAGUGACUUUAGGGGCAUAUUACUUUGCACUUAUCAUUUUCCUAUUCAUAAUUUUUUCAGCUAUGGAACUAUUAGAGGACUAUAUUUCAUUGAAGCUGUUGUCAAAGCAGUCGGCGCCUGCUGGAAGCUUGAAGUUUGGAGGUCUUCUGUCACAUUUUUUCCAUAGAUGUUAGACCCAAACCCAUCCUUCAAAUGAAUACUUAAGACUGGUUUCUGAUUUGGUGAAACUUUUAAUGUCAUACUACUUGUAUUGCAAAUUGCAUAGAGUACAAUG
Molecule: long non-coding RNA, 293 nt
Filed under: Elaeis guineensis (African oil palm)
Lineage: Eukaryota; Viridiplantae; Streptophyta; Magnoliopsida; Arecales; Arecaceae
Description: long non-coding RNA (EGUI_LNC043359)
Source: RNAcentral